This 1263-nucleotide ribosomal RNA is filed under the name Triticum aestivum (bread wheat). Its description in RNAcentral is "partial small subunit ribosomal RNA". The record is from RNAcentral. Lineage: Eukaryota; Viridiplantae; Streptophyta; Magnoliopsida; Poales; Poaceae.
AUGCCAGAAUUUAAUUUUAUUACCAUCUCCGAUCUUCCAAGUAUAGAAAGUUUCUAUCUCUCAAGCCAAGCCUCGACUGUUUGCGAGCCUGAGCGUCGCGACCCGAGCCACGAGCCUGCUUGGCUCGAUUCCACCCCUCCUAUAAACAAGAAAGUGCCUCCUAUAAUCCCCCUUCCCCUCUUCCAACCUCAGUGUUCCCUCCAUUUCCCGCCGCGUUCUCCGGGCCCGAACCGCCACUUCCUCCUCGGCGACCACGGCCGCGGUGUCCGCCGCCGGGCGAUCCAGCGCCUUCCUCCCCGUGCGGACCCGCCCUGGAUGGCCGGGAGAGCCUCUUCCGUGGAGCGCGUGAAGGAGCGUGCCACCGGCCUCGACAAGUUCGUCCUCCGCGAGGCCCGCGGCAGCUCCGCCGAGGUAUACUUGUAUGGAGGCCAAGUAACCUCUUGGAAAAAUAACUCUGGAGAACAACAGUUAUUUCUCAGUAAGAAGGCUUCUUUCAAACCACCAAAAGCGAUUCGUGGGGGCAUACAAAUUUGUUUUCCUCAAUUAGGGAACCACGGAGUUGUUGAACAGCAUGGAUUCGCUAGGAACCGACUUUGGAGUGUUGAUGAGAGUCCUCCUCUUCCAGAUACCACUUCUGAUUGUCAUAUUGACUUGAUACUCAAGCAGUCUGAAGAAGAUAUGAAGACCUGGCCACACAGUUAUGAACUUCGUUUGCAAGUUGCUCUUAGCCCGAGGGGAGAUCUGAUCCUCACAUCUCGAAUAAAAAAUAAGAAUGCUGAUGGCAAGCCAUUCCAAUUUACUUUUGCAUACCACACAUACUUUUCAGUCUCUGAUAUCAGCGAAGUACGGGUUGAGGGUUUGGAUACCUUGGACUAUCAUGAUAAUCUGCAAUCUAAGAUUCGUUGUACUGAACAAGGCGAUGCAGUUGUAUUUGAAUCUGAAGUGGACAGGAUAUAUCUAAGUGCCCCACCCAAGAUUGUGACAAUUGACCAUGAGAAAAAAAGGACAUUCGUAUUAAGGAAAAAGGAACUUCCAGAUGUUGUUGUUUGGAACCCAUGGGACAGGAAAGCAAAAGCAAUGCCAGAUUUUGGUGCCGAGGAGUACAAGUGCAUGCUGUGUGUAGGGGCUGCACGUAUUGAGAAGCCAAUUACUUUAAGGCCUGGUGAAGAGUGGCAAGGAAGGCAGGAAAUUUCCCCUGUGCCAUCCAGUUACAGCAGUGGACUGUUGGAUCCUGAAAUGAUUCAACAGAUGCAACGUAUCUAG